Molecule: long non-coding RNA, 2201 nt
Organism: Caretta caretta (loggerhead turtle)
Lineage: Eukaryota; Metazoa; Chordata; Testudines; Cheloniidae
Source: RefSeq, a predicted model, not a curated record
AUAUUCUGGAUCGAUAUGGCAAGUGCAUUGAGACUGCAGCAACACAUUUAAAACCUUAUAAAAGGUUAUUUAGUUGCUAACAGAGCAGCAGUUUCUGCAAAGCCUGCCAAAAGGUUACAGCUUUUUGGGCAUCAUAAAUUACAGACGACAGGAGAAAAAACCUUUCCUCUGACGGCUGAGACUCGCCUUAUCCCAAACCCAUGGGCGCGUCUGACUCGGCCUUCAUGCAAAUACAGCCUGACUAGGUCCCAAUCCUGCAAGCUGGGGCCCAGCACCCUGAGACAGAAGUGAAGUCACUUUCGACAGGUUUGGGAUCGAACAGCUACAUUUUCCAACACACCACUGAUUUUCGUUACCUAAAGUGAGGGACCGCAUUGAGGGCAGUGUCUAUCCUGCACCUGGAGGUGCGCUUCCCAGCCCACUUAGACAGACGUGCUAGGUCUGUGUGAGCUAAAAAUACCAGCAUGGUGGUGGCUUGGCCUAUCUUCCUGAAUACGAACCCAGGAUGCUGGGUGUUUCCACUUGCAUGGCUAGUCCGAGCCCUGGCCUGUGCUACCCCACCUCCCCGGCUAUUUUUAGCACAGUAGCUCAAGCAGAGCUAGCCCGUUUCUGUCUACCCGCACUGGGAAGCCCACUCCCAGCUGCAGCAUAGAUGUAACCAGUAGAGACUUCCACUGACUCUCCUCAGCCACCCAAACUUGAGGCAUCCAGUUACAGACCAGCUGCCCUUUAUGGGGAGUUAGUGCCCAGUCUGCCCCUGACUGCCUUAUGAAGGCCCCACCUAGGGGUAAUUGACUGCCCCAGGUGUCUGGUUAGUAAUCGAGCACCUGGACUUAAUAAAGGUUCCCCAAGCUCAGUUAGAGGGGAGCCCCCAAGGGAGACAUGACGCUCCUGUUCAGAGCAGCUCCCAGGAGAAGUUGCUGAUGAAGAGCCUAGAGUGAGAAUUAUCUGGGGACCCCACAGACUGCUGCUGCGGAAAGGGCGAACUUCCUAGAUGCAGGACUGCAGUCAGUGGGCAUCCAGGAGGGCCUGGUCUCAGCCAUGGAUGCCCUUGACGCCAUCUGGAAGCCCAACCUGGCAAGGAUCAGCCACUAUCCAUGGAGAAGAGCGGCAGUGGACAGACCUCCCUGGACUCCUGACUCCAGAGACAGGAAGCCUAACACCAGGGGCAGAGACUGGAACUGAGAGAUCCCCCGGAGAAGAGCCUGGCUGGAGGCAAGAACUGGACGCAGGUGGGGGACAGAUGGAUUAAGAAUGACCUGGUCACCAGCUGAAAUGUUGGGGUGAAAGCUUUGUUUGUGUCCUGCGGCAGCUUUUCUGUUAAUAAAUAAGGGCCUCCAAAAGCCGGUGGAGGUGCUCUUUAGCAUCUGUCAGGACCAGUUAAUACCCUGGGAGAGGGGAAAAUCGAGGAAGGGCUCACCCACAAUACCACGCCCACCUGCAAGGGGGUGCACUGGGUCAGCCAGGAAUGAAGACACACCCCAAAUCAGGGACUGCUAAUGAGAAGGCUGGACAGACGAGGAGCUCCCACGUGGCUAUUUUGCGCACAUUGCCUUUGUGUGCACACGAUAUUUUCACUGAAUGGAUUUCCUGUUUCCGCUAUCAGCACAGCUCCUCUAAAGCUCCUCUAAAAGGCCAGAUCCACAGUGAAUGGGCAUUUCUGAGAAUCAUGUGCUGAAUAUUUUCCUAAGGGCAAGGUCUGGAAUAAUCUCAGAAGGGAAGUGGUAAAAGCCCCAUGGCUAGAUUCAUUUUAAAAUGGACUGGUCAAAGUACUGGGGAACGGGAAGGAAGGAUGGUCCAGUGCUUAGGGCAUUAGCCUAGGAGACUCACGUUCAAUUCCCUGCUCUGCCACAGACUUCCUGGGUGACCUUGGGCACGUCACUUAGUCUCUUUGGGCCUCAGUUCCCUGCCUGUACAAUGGGGAUGACAAGUCAGUGCUCAGAGUCUUUAAAUACAUUAAAGGCUGCAAAGUACUCAGAUGCUAUGGUAAUGGGGGGCCAGAUAGAGUACAGUGUCGGGACCGGUCUGGUGCGGGCCAGAGAGGAUGGGCAAGGUGUCUAACUAUCUCUAACAUCAAUAAUGGUGACUCCCAUGCUCUAUACUCAAUACUUCCAGCCAAAGGUCCAGCUUUGGCUCUGGCCUCUCUCUAAUUCAUCCUUCAAUCCAUAAUGGCUACAGUAAUACACAUUUAAAACUCUUGC